UGGGGAAUUUUGGACAAUGGGCGCAAGCCUGAUCCAGCCAUGCCGCGUGCGGGAAGAAGGCCUUCGGGUUGUAAACCGCUUUUGUCAGGGAAGAAAUCUUCUGAGUUAAUACCUCGGGAGGAUGAUGGUACCUGAAGAAUAAGCACCGGCUAACUACGUGCCAGCAGCCGCGGUAAUACGUAGGGUGCAAGCGUUAAUCGGAAUUACUGGGCGUAAAGCGUGCGCAGGCGGUUUUGUAAGACAGAGGUGAAAUCCCCGGGCUCAACCUGGGAACUGCCUUUGUGACUGCAAGGCUUGAGUGCGGCAGAGGGGGAUGGAAUUCCGCGUGUAGCAGUGAAAUGCGUAGAUAUGCGGAGGAACACCGAUGGCGAAGGCAAUCCCCUGGGCCUGCACUGACGCUCAUGCACGAAAGCGUGGGGAGCAAACAGGAUUAGAUACCCUGGUAGUCCACGCCCUAAACGAUGUCAACUGGUUGUUGGGAAGGUUCCUUCUCAGUAACGUAGCUAACGCGUGAAGUUGACCGCCUGGGGAGUACGGCCGCAAGGUUGAAACUCAAAUGAAUUGACGGGGUCAUAGCUGUUUCCUG
RNAcentral lists this ribosomal RNA (586 nucleotides) under uncultured bacterium. RNAcentral's name for it is "partial 16S ribosomal RNA". It matches the Rfam family "Bacterial small subunit ribosomal RNA", at positions 355 to 1376 of the family's 1533-position model. The record is from RNAcentral.